This 759-nucleotide non-coding RNA is filed under the name Arabidopsis thaliana (thale cress). Lineage: Eukaryota; Viridiplantae; Streptophyta; Magnoliopsida; Brassicales; Brassicaceae. The record is from RNAcentral.
ACAUACACUCAAGAUCUCGAUGCAAUUCUCACACGAAUAAGAAAAGUAAAAGAGCACAAAACAGAAGAUAAAAGGGGGAACAAAUGAAAACCCAGGUAAGGAAAAGGCGUACUUAUCGCCGGAGGAGAAGCUGUAGAGCUUGCCGGAGGCGGAGACGACGAGAAGAGCGACGGAUGCGUCACAGAGAACAGAAAGCUGACGAGCUUUCUCGAUGAGACCGUUGCGACGUUUGGAGAAGGUGACUUGUCGGCUACUUUUGUUCUCAAUUCGCUUGAUUUCUAGUUUUUUUCUUCCCAUGGCUUCUCUCCGAGAGGGCUUUGUGCCCUAAUUUGAUCCUCAGGUUUGGGUUCAAGUCGCCGGAGAUACUAAGCGUUUUCUCUUUCUAUUUUUUUUUUUCCUUUUCUCGCUUUAUUUCUUUCUAUUUUUUGUGCCUAUCUACUUUUUCUUCGUCGGGCCAGAUAUUUUUUUUUUUUUGGGGGUAAACGAGAGUGAUGCAAAAAAACCAAAUAUGUGAAUAAAAACGUUGUGUUUUGAAGACAAGAUUGCCACGUGUACCGCAAAAAAAAAAAAAAAAAAAAAAAAAAAAAAAAAAAAAAAAAAAAAAAAAAAAAAAAAAAAAAAAAAAAAAAAAAAAAAAAAAAAAAAAAAAAAAAAAAAAAAAAAAAAAAAAAAAAAAAAAAAAAAAAAAAAAAAAAAAAAAAAAAAAAAAAAAAAAAAAAAAAAAAAAAAAAAAAAAAAAAAAAAAAAAAAAAAAAAAAA